GACGAACGCUGGCGGCGUGCCUAAUACAUGCAAGUCGAGCGGACCUCUUCGGAGGUCAGCGGCGGACGGGUGAGUAACACGUGGGCAACCUGCCUGUAAGACUGGGAUAACUCCGGGAAACCGGAGCUAAUACCGGAUACUAUGUCAAACCGCAUGGUUUGACAUUCAAAGACGGUUUCGGCUGUCACUUACAGAUGGGCCCGCGGCGCAUUAGCUAGUUGGUGAGGUAACGGCUCACCAAGGCGACGAUGCGUAGCCGACCUGAGAGGGUGAUCGGCCACACUGGGACUGAGACACGGCCCAGACUCCUACGGGAGGCAGCAGUAGGGAAUCUUCCGCAAUGGACGAAAGUCUGACGGAGCAACGCCGCGUGAGUGAUGAAGGUUUUCGGAUCGUAAAACUCUGUUGUCAGGGAAGAACAAGUGCCGGAGUAACUGCCGGCGCCUUGACGGUACCUGACCAGAAAGCCACGGCUAACUACGUGCCAGCCGCCGCGGUAA
RNAcentral lists this ribosomal RNA (500 nucleotides) under uncultured bacterium. Its description in RNAcentral is "partial 16S ribosomal RNA". It matches the Rfam family "Bacterial small subunit ribosomal RNA", at positions 28 to 523 of the family's 1533-position model. The record is from RNAcentral.